Molecule: long non-coding RNA, 4165 nt
Filed under: Sus scrofa (pig)
Lineage: Eukaryota; Metazoa; Chordata; Mammalia; Artiodactyla; Suidae
Description: lncRNA (ENSSSCG00015026097.1)
Source: RNAcentral
GGGAAGGGAAUAUAUACCCCUCACUGCCUGGCAUCCAAGCAGUGUCCUUUCCUUCAGUGGUAAACGUGGACUGUUUCUUGGAGUAUAGGAAAUGUUUGGUUUUUUGGUUUGUUUUUUUAAAUAAAAAGAAAGAUAUACUGGAGUUCCCAUCGUGGCUCAGCGGAAACAAAUCUGAAUAGCAUCCAUGAGGAUGCAGUUGGGUUCGCUAACCGCUAAGCCACAAUGGGAUGGGAGUUCCUGGACUUUUCUUAUCGAUGCCGCAUACUUGAGCUUUUGGAAGCUAUUUAGGAUCCAUUGACCCUUUGACUUCUGCCAGGAUCUUUUUUGCUGUUGCUGGAAAUUUGGAGAUAGAGAGUGGAAGCAUGGGGUGUUCUCAGGUCAUCCCAGUGAAAGAGUUAAGCCAUUUUUUAAAAGCCUAAAAGUAGUUUUCAGAAUUACUUAAUUCUCAAUGGAAAAUCCCUAGCUUUUUCUUUCCAGAAUCUUUCUCUCCCCCCAAGUCAAUGUCUGCUGCAGCCCCCAAUUCAUAGUGUAUUGUGUGUUUAUCGCCACCUCCAGAGAGGGAGGGAUGCUAAUGUUCUGAGAGGGAAUUAAAUUCUGGGUCACAGGUUGUCAUUGACAAUUCACUGCAGACCAACUUCGACCCAGAUAAAGGAGCUCGAGGCAUUUCCCAGGGAGGUGCCUUCAGCCCCAGUGUUGACCUCCUGGAUAGGUAUUCUCCUGACGUUUAAAGGUACAGCUGGUUUCCAUUUGAAAGCAGAAGGAUGGAGCUGCUCAAGGAUCCAGUGCCUCUGCUAGGUGAAGGCUGCUUUGCUAAAAUGUGUGCAACACACAGCAAGGAACCUGAGAAAUAAGCUUCCAUUUUGCUUAGCCUUAGCACAGGAAAUUAUGUCUGGCUUGUUUUUGUUGUGAACACAGAGAGCAUUGCAUAUUAAAAAUUCUCUGUAGUUGUUUAAUAUUUACUGCAUGGUGGGCUGCGAGCCCCUAAUCAAGGCUCUCUGUCACUGUUUGGAUUGGAUGCAUGAAUUGUGACACUGAAAAUCUCAAGACGGUAAACCUCUGCAGCUGUGGAAGCUGGAGCUAUUUACCGGGGCUAUUAAAGGAGCCUGCAUGACUUCUUGGGGAUGGGGGGUGAGCUAAGAUGGAGUGAAAUUCACAAGGUACACAGGGAUUGAAAAUGAAGGUUUUGGAGUUCCCGUUGUGGUGCAGCGGAAACGAAUCCGACUAGUAUCCCUGAGGAUGCAGGUUUGAUCCCUGGCCUGGCUCAGUGGGGUUAAGGAUCCAGAGUUGCCAUGAGUUGUGGUGUAAGUUGGAAACAUGCCUCGGAUCCUCGUUGCUAUGGCUGUGGCAUAGGCUGGUGGCUACAGCUCCAAUUCAGUGCCUAGCCUAGGAACUUCCACAUGCCACAGGUAUGGCCCUAAACAGAAAAAGAUAAUGAAGGUUCUUUUAUGAGCACAGCCCUGUAACAGUAUCCUCAUAGAAAUAGAUAUGGUUUAAUAACACUUGCUUCAUGAAUUGACAAACAAAAUAUUCUGCGGUCUUUUUGCUUUUUAGAGGGAAAAAUAAGAGUCCAAAGGUGAAUAUUAAAGUCAACAUAUUUAGUGCUUUAGAACAGUGUUUGAAGGGAAUGUUUUUUCAAGGUACUUUGUAGAAACAAGUGUCACUUUUAUUUCCUAAAGGCAGUUUUGAAGGAUUUGUCAUGACGUUUUUAUAGCCUUAUUCUCCUUGAAAAAGCAGAAGUGGAGAAAUUUUGUAUUUUCGUUAUCUAAAGACGCAACUCCUUGGCCUGCCUCCUGCUAUUUGGGGACCUGAGGAAUGUCGUCCGGUUACAAAGGGUUUGUAGGAGGGCCUGAACCCCAAGGUUAGGAACUGAGACCAACACCAUGCCUAAGAUACAUCUUUUCCAGAGUGUUUUUUGGUUCACUUGUUUAUUCCUUUUUCAAUCGUUUGUCCCUUUAAGAAAUGUUUACUGAGCAGCUACUCUGAGCCCAGAACUGUGCCAGGUACUGGGAGGUCUCAGUUAAAGGCAGCUUGCCCCCAAGGACAGGGCUUCCUGCCAAGAAUGUACUGUCCUCACUGCUCAGUGUGUGGAGCAGCUGGAGCCCCGGUUCAGCCUUGACAUUCAGCAGAACUCGGUGUGUCUGCAUCUAAAAGCACGAACCUGUUUGCUUGACUGUUCUUCUGAUUGUCGGCAUCUUUGCUGUUGUGUAAAAGACAUUAUUCAUUUGAAAGGCACUCUUCUAAUUGGAUAUUAAUCUCUGUCAUAUCUAGAAGCAGCCGUAAAAGCCCUAAGAAACAGUUUAUAGAAAAUAUUUUUGAGUCAUUUAAAGAAAGUAACUGUAAAUUUGGCAUCGUUUCCAAGUUAACUGUCAAGGGUAAACAUCAGGCAGAUCCUGCAAAGUUACAGAAAUGUGGCGAAUGUAUUUUCUUUGAGGCAAGAGCAGGAUAAUUUAGGGACGAAGCUUCUAAAAUACUAAUUCAGCAAAGCAAAUGCAGGACUGUGGGGGACCCAGUCAUCAUGGGGGAUUGGACACAGUGGGAGAUAUGAUGUAGGGUCUUCAGCUUAAUCUGGGGCAGGAAGUGAAACUUAAGCCCUUGACUUAGAAGACAAUGUGCCCCAAGCUAUCAGAGCAACGCCAGAAAGUACAGUGAGUGCCGGCCCCUGUGGCUGGAGGACCAGUGAAAUGUUGGGGCCUUGGGAAUGCGCCAAGAAGCCAGACUGAAAACAUGCCAGAGCCAUCCCCUGUUCCCACCUGGAAUGUGUAUGCUGUUCCUGGCCUUGUUCCUCAAGAAAAACAGUUUAGCAUCAGCAACGUUCAGAGAAACACAGUUACAAUGAUAAAGGGAAACAAAGGGUGAUGGUGAGAAAGGACACGGGCCAUAUUAGGAGAAAACAAAAAGGCUGAGAUGCUUCACUUUGUAGAAAUGGAGGUUGAAAUGAGUUGGGUCUAUAAAACAAGGUUACAGCUAAGGUCAAUGCUAAAUCUCAGUAUGACUAGAAGCCUUAUUGGUUGCAAAGCCUUCAGCAAGGCAUCUCCUUUCUCAGGACCCAAGUUUCUUCUUUUGUAAUUUACAUGCCAAGAUGUACUCAGCAGCACACCUGUCCUGCAAGAUGCUUGCGGGGAGGAAAAAAAAAAAAAUGUGUUUUUUAGCCAAGCAAAUCUGUAAAUCUCCCCAUAACAUAAGUUCUUCCAGGAGAGUGGUCCCUCUUUGCAUUUGACAUUAAAAGCUCUCCAAAGCUCAUCCUUCAGGAGGAUCCGUUUAACUUUUGUGGAUCUCAGGCAGUAUUUCCCAUGGAAUCCUUUGUUCGCACGGAGUGCCUAUGAGGACUUUGGAAAAUGAUUUUGGAAAGACUGCAGUCCAAGAUCUGAGGAAGCCCAUCUCAGACACAGAAAGUACUUCCUAACAGUGUGAAACUUGUCACUUCUAGCGCUGAUACAGGAAGAAAACCAGAGUGUGCAAGGAGUAGCAGUUUAGAGGCAUUUACGGAUGAUGGCAGGUUUAUCAAAGGGAGAAAGUUCACAAUAUAAAGGAAAACCAUUCUGGGCUACACAGGGCUUUGGGGAGCUGGUACUGAGACCCAGGCCUCUGCAUCAGGACUUAGAAUGUAUCAGGACAUAACAUAGGCACCAUUGGAAGAGAAAAUACAGAGCAGCAGCUCAUUUAAAUUUUGGCUGAAUCGGGCAGACAGUUCUGCAUCAUAAUGAAAUUAUAGAGAAUUGGACAAUGGUUCUCUUGGAUCAUUUGGCUCAUCACCUUCCAUUAUUUGAAGUUUGAGUUCAUGUCCAUUAUGACCAUAUCAGUCAUUUUCUAUAGCUUGUCUCCUAAAACCUGGCUAAGGAUUUUGCCACAACUGUUCUAUAGUUUUAUAGACUUGUGUGAACCUGUUUUUUUUUUUUUUUUUCCUCCUUGAAACCUUUUGCUAUUUUGAGAAAGUAUUUUAUGGAGAUCUUCUUGGGGCUCAGUGGUAAUGAACCCAACUAGUAUCCAUGAGGAUGCAUGUUCCAUCCCUGGCCUCACUCAGUGGGUUAAGGAUCCAGCAUUGCCAUGCGCUGUAGUGUAGGUCGCAGACAUGGCUUAGAUCUGCUGUUGCUAUGGCUGUGGUGUAGGCAGCUGGAGCUCUGAUUCAGCCCCUAGCCUGGGAAUUUCCAUAUGCUGCAGGUGCAGC